RNAcentral lists this long non-coding RNA (2733 nucleotides) under Bemisia tabaci. RNAcentral describes it as "lncRNA ENSSSA2NGG009960". Lineage: Eukaryota; Metazoa; Arthropoda; Insecta; Hemiptera; Aleyrodidae. The record is from RNAcentral.
AUGUCGACUGGCCCAGGGCUCUCUUCGCGGGAGAGCUUGUCUCGGCGGGAGCCUUAUUCUGUUCGUUGGGAAUACUUAAAGUCUCACUCUUUGCCGUCCAUGACCACACCGAUGAUCUGCAGGGGCAACGCAAUAAGUCACGCAUGCCUGAAUACGAUCAGAACUUGGAACUACAAAUCAGACGAAGAGAAAGUAAGAUUCUUCGCCAUGGACAGAGGUGAUGAAAUCACCGCCCUAGCGGAACUUUCGAGGAGGGAAUUAAUCUGGGGGAACAAUCGUGGAUACAUCUUUGUGGAAAAGCUCAAGUCUCGGUAUAAGUUUCGGGCUGGCUCAAGUGCAGUCGAUGAAAUAUUAAUUCUAGGCCCUGGUUGCAUCAUUGUGAAGUUCAACGACAAAACAAAGGCUCUUGUCGCCGUAGAAAGUGGACGCACGCUUAAACAUUUUGACAGCGAGACCGAAGUAUGUCGGUACAGGGAAAACACGUUCGCUUCGGUCCGUGGCAGAGAUAUCGAAGUUGUUGAAGUAAAUGCCCCAGGGAAAGUUUGGAGAUGGGAUAAUCAUUUUGGUCGAGAAUUUUCCGCAAUAAGAGUCGAGCGUGAUGAGCGGCUGAAAAUAUUUAUCUUGCUGAAGCAUGCGGAUCAGAGCGGGUUCACGAUAUGGUCAGUCAAGGAAAAUAUAUUCACCGAGGCCCCAUUGGACCGAAUCUGGACGGAUCAGUUUAAUGUCUUGGUGUUCAUCAAUAUUGAAACUUAUUUCAUUCCCAAAUUUAAUUUCAAAACGAAGGGCAUGUUGCUAGCGAAAUACACCUUUGAUGCACGGAAACAAAGCUACCGGUUUCGAGUAGGACCACAGGCCGGGCACGGGAAAGUGCUUUCCAUGAUACUUAGAAAAGACCCAAAACCAGCCCCUUGGCUUCGUGAUCCCGAGGACUUCAUAGUGUACGGGACAAGUAGAUUCAGAGCAUUUCCCUCAGGUGUUCAUAUUUUUAAUAUGAACUGCGAAUUGAUACAUUCCUUGAACUGUACCAAUGAUUCGGAUCCUUUAGCAUUGGUCAAGCUCAAAGACGGAUCCUUUGCGGUCAAGCUGUUCAAUUCUGUCAGCAUCUUGAAGAAGCGGAGCCUCUUCCGAAAUUACAAAAGCAGACUGUUCGUGGGCGAAGGUGAUUUCAGCUUCACCAAAGCGCUCGUCAAAAAACACAAGGGAAACCAUCCUGGCUUGCGAGGAGCUAUCGUCGCGACGGAGUUGUCGUUGUAUGCGGAAGUUAGCACGGAAGAACUAAUGUUUGAAGGGGUAGAGACUUAUCUCGGCAUCGACGCUCAGGAGCUACACAAGCACGCUAAGCGGUUCAAACGCAUCCACUGGAACUGCCCUUACCGAGAAGAUCUGACCAAUAGAAAUUUCGAUUUCCCUCGUGUGUUCAGAAAUUUCUUCGAGUCCUGCUCGAAGAUCCAACGGCCCGGCGAUCGGGUCCACGUCACCCUGAUGCAAGAAAGGCGUGAUGAUCUGUGGAAAAAACUCAGGCAGCAACAGUGCCCCAUCGUGUCGGGCUCCGCCCACGCGGGGUACCGUCUGAUCAGGAAGAGGAUCUUCGGGGAAGGGCGAUACCCGGGCUACGCGCACUGGAAGUCGGACGGGCAGUCGACGCACUCGGCGAAGGACGAGGACAUGCGGGAGUUCGUGUUCGAGAAAGUCGACUCCGGAGUGGAGUACCUUACUGGGAAGAGACACGCGGUUAAGAAGUACCGGCCCUCGGACACUGAGUACUAUUUUGAGUGCAGCACGGACUGCGACUCGUCCAGCUACGAAGACUCCACCUCUAGCGAAGACGACACGGACGCGAUAGUCGGGUAUGAGGGUGAAAGAUUCUCCUACGAGCAUUUGGAUCCGGUGAGCAUUGGGUCUAAUAUUGGAAUGCUGUCUGAUUCCAGUUUUUUAGCACCGUUGACUCCGGGCUCCAGGAACGUCCCUCCUUCCGGUUAUCGCGCUGCAGUGCGGCCUGAUUCCACUCUUGCACGGUCGUCAAUUCCAGGAUCCUCUUCCGAUGCACGUUCUGGAAUGGGGCUUGGUUCUGGUCCUUCCCAGCCGUCGACUUCGGGUUCCUGGAUUUGUCCUCCUUCCAGUAUUGGGCCUGACUCCAGUCGCAUCCUACCGUCAACUUCGGGAUCCGGGGACAUUCCCCCAUUAGAUUUUCUCGCUGAAAUAGGGCCUGGUUCCAGCUCUGCACGAUUGUCGACUCCCGGUGGUUCCAACGUUCCUUCUUCCGAUUUUCUUUCUGGAAUAGGACCUGGUUCCAGCUCUGCGCAAUCGUCGACUCCCGGUGGUUCCAACGUUCCUUCUUCCGAUUUUCUUUCUGGAUUUGGGCCUGGUUCCAACUCUGCACGACCGUCGACUCCCGGUGGUUCCAACGUUCCUUCCUCCGAUUUUCGUUCUGGAAUUGGACCUGGUUCCAGUCUUUUCCAGCCGUCGACUUCAGGAUCUGUGACCUUUGGAGUUGGUCCUUUCACUUCCGGAACUGAAACGAGGCCUGAUUCCCGAUUGACUUCAGGACCCAGGAACUUCCGUUCUUCCGGUCCCCGCGCUCAAAUGGGAAACCCUCGUCGUCAGCAGCAGUAUCGGAGUGGACACAUCUGGUCUGAAAGGAACAUCGGGGUCCGUAAUCCUCAAAGAGGCUCAAGUCUCAGAAAUGAAAACACUGGAAGGACAAAAGAAACUGUUUUAAUCGACCUGUCUUAA